Tachyglossus aculeatus (Australian echidna) is the source of this 153-nucleotide long non-coding RNA. RefSeq lists it as uncharacterized. The record is from RefSeq and is a predicted model, not a curated record. The transcript is spliced from 3 exons. Lineage: Eukaryota; Metazoa; Chordata; Mammalia; Monotremata; Tachyglossidae.
CAUGGCCCGCUUGGCUGGACUGAGGAAGGAGAGGUCCACUCCCCAUCCUGGGAGCAGAUGACCAGCUGGGAAGAGGCGUUGGAGGACUGGACAGAGGUGGUAAGCAGUGAAGGAACCCUGGAUCCCCGCCCCUACCACGAUGGCAUCGUAGAG